Molecule: ribosomal RNA, 253 nt
Filed under: uncultured prokaryote
Description: partial 16S ribosomal RNA
Rfam family: Bacterial small subunit ribosomal RNA
Source: RNAcentral
UACAGAGGUCCCGAGCGUUGUUCGGAUUCACUGGGCGUAAAGGGUGCGUAGGCGGUUCUGAAAGUCUGAUGUGAAAUCUCCAGGCCCAACCUGGAAAUGGCAUUAGAAACUACAGGGCUAGAGGCUUGGAGGGGGAACUGGAAUGCUCGGUGUAGCAGUGAAAUGCUUAGAUAUCGUCCAGAACACCGAUAGCGAAGGCAGCUUACUAAGGAGUAACUGACGCUGAGGCACGAAAGUGUGGGGAUCAAACAGG